Molecule: long non-coding RNA, 1617 nt
Organism: Osmia lignaria (orchard mason bee)
Lineage: Eukaryota; Metazoa; Arthropoda; Insecta; Hymenoptera; Megachilidae
Source: RefSeq, a predicted model, not a curated record
GGGGGCAUUCGGAAACUUAUCCAUAAUUAAUCCUUCAAGUGCAUCUUCUUAAAAUUUCAACCCUUCCUUAUGGUAAAUCACAUAAAAAACAGAUCACAGAGAACGGUGGUCGAGGAUUCCAAUCAUCCUCUCUGUUUGUAAACAAAGCGAGUCACGCGAGGACGAAGGAAACGGCCUCGAGAGUAGGUCUAAAAGUAUCCCCGUGUACUCUGGCAUCCUCACGAUGAAUGACUCCGGCUUCACUGGUUCUUUCUGGUUCGAGUAUACCAACCAACCAUUCACCGAACAGACGACGAGGAGGUCCGCACCGGUUUAAACCGGUACAUCUGCUACCUCAUCGCCGGUGGCUCGAUUAGCGCCAAGCAAUUAUUGAAUACCCGGUCGUUCGACGAUAAGGUUCGUUUCUCUCUUUUAUGUUCACGACUUCCUCAAUCGAGAUACCGAUUUCACGCGAACACUGCCGCGUCUCUUACGUCUCUCGAAUAAAUUCAUAUUUCCGUGUCCCGCGGAUGUAUCAACGGUGCUGGGAUUGUCGUCAAGAAAUGCGAACCGGCGUGUCGAGGACGUACAAGUGCAUACGAGAAUCAGCCUACGAGACUACGGCCGGAUUGCUUGCGAGAUGAACCGGUGCUGGCAUUGCGGUGAGACUGUGCGUUAAAUGGAGAUGAUGCUUUGAAAUGGCCUGUAUGUGACAUCCUCUACGAACUGUUUAUUUUCGGUUCGAUUUACAUGCGAGGCACGCCCAACACCGGAAUCAUUAUUGGCACAGGGACUUUGCCUAGAAUCGGUAUUACAUACGCGUGCCAUAAAAAAGAAAUGUGGAAGAGACUGAGCUGUUGUCGGGACAGGGAGGAGAAAAAGGGAUAUACACGAAGAAAAAUGCGAGCCCCGUGUAGCCUUGCGUGGGUCGGCAAAUCCAUUUGGUGCUCGUCCCCGCUCCACAUCCUCACACCGGAACCAGCGAUGGCUACAAAACGGAAACAACUAUAGAACUUUCCACCCCUUCCACUUUCUACCGGAUUGUACAUACACGCGUGGGUCGUGUCUAUUUUAUCCAUUCCUCCGGACGUCAUACAGACGGAAUAAUGUCAAGGACAUACGGUGGCCAAUCGGUCAAGCUGACAAAUUUGUAAACGAUUCAACCAAGGUACACACUCCUCGCAGAAGAAUGAACUGCGAGCUUGUGUACCUCUGGGAACGGUCAAUCAACUAAUUCGAUCGGAUUGACGACCCCCACUUAACUGUAUGAAUGGAACUUUUUGAAAUUGACUAUCUACAGGGUGAUUCUCUCGCUGCUGGACACAAAGAAACACUGGCGACAAUGAACCCCUUGACCGCACCAUGUCACGUGCCAGCGGGGACCUACCCGAGCCGAGACGACUCUGUGCAGGUACGUAUGUGUGUACGGACCUCUUCAUGGUGCGGUCAAGGGGUUCAUUGUCGCCAGUUCCUUUGUGUCCAGCAGCGAUAGAAUCACCCUGUAUAUAGGGUAUUUCAAGUAAGCUGACGAUCAAUGACCUUAUAUUGAAUCUUAUUUUAUGUUCGGACCAGCUUAUUUGAAAUACCCUGUACAUUUGUAAUUAUUAUGUAUUAUGAAAUUCAAUAUGUAACUGCAAA